Molecule: ribosomal RNA, 253 nt
Filed under: uncultured bacterium
Lineage: Bacteria
Description: partial 16S ribosomal RNA
Rfam family: Bacterial small subunit ribosomal RNA
Source: RNAcentral
CACGUAGGGCGCAAGCGUUGUCCGGAAUUAUUGGGCGUAAAGGGCUCGUAGGCGGUCUGUUGCGUCUGCUGUGAAAACCCGGGGCUUAACCCCUGGCUUGCAGUGGAUACGGACAGACUAGAGGUAGGUAGGGGAGAAUGGAAUUCCCGGUGUAGCGGUGAAAUGCGCAGAUAUCGGGAGGAGCACCGGUGGCGAAGGCGGUUCUCUGGGACGGUACUGACGCUGAGACGCGAAAGCGUGGGGAGCGAACAGG